This 784-nucleotide ribosomal RNA is filed under the name uncultured Ralstonia sp. RNAcentral describes it as "bacterial SSU rRNA". It matches the Rfam family "Bacterial small subunit ribosomal RNA", at positions 555 to 1343 of the family's 1533-position model. Lineage: Bacteria; Pseudomonadati; Pseudomonadota; Betaproteobacteria; Burkholderiales; Burkholderiaceae. The record is from RNAcentral.
UGGGCGUAAAGCGUGCGCAGGCGGUUGUGCAAGACCGAUGUGAAAUCCCCGAGCUUAACUUGGGAAUUGCAUUGGUGACUGCACGGCUAGAGUGUGUCAGAGGGGGGUAGAAUUCCACGUGUAGCAGUGAAAUGCGUAGAGAUGUGGAGGAAUACCGAUGGCGAAGGCAGCCCCCUGGGAUAACACUGACGCUCAUGCACGAAAGCGUGGGGGGCAAACAGGAUUAGAUACCCUGGUAGUCCACGCCCUAAACGAUGUCAACUAGUUGUUGGGGAUUCAUUUCCUUAGUAACGUAGCUAACGCGUGAAGUUGACCGCCUGGGGAGUACGGUCGCAAGAUUAAAACUCAAAGGAAUUGACGGGGACCCGCACAAGCGGUGGAUGAUGUGGAUUAAUUCGAUGCAACGCGAAAAACCUUACCUACCCUUGACAUGCCACUAACGAAGCAGAGAUGCAUUAGGUGCUCGAAAGAGAAAGUGGACACAGGUGCUGCAUGGCUGUCGUCAGCUCGUGUCGUGAGAUGUUGGGUUAAGUCCCGCAACGAGCGCAACCCUUGUCUCUAGUUGCUACGAAAGGGCACUCUAGAGAGACUGCCGGUGACAAACCGGAGGAAGGUGGGGAUGACGUCAAGUCCUCAUGGCCCUUAUGGGUAGGGCUUCACACGUCAUACAAUGGUGCAUACAGAGGGUUGCCAAGCCGCGAGGUGGAGCUAAUCCCAGAAAAUGCAUCGUAGUCCGGAUCGUAGUCUGCAACUCGACUACGUGAAGCUGGAAUCGCUAGUAAUC